Alexandromys fortis (reed vole) is the source of this 7291-nucleotide long non-coding RNA. RefSeq lists it as uncharacterized. The record is from RefSeq and is a predicted model, not a curated record. The transcript has 3 exons. Lineage: Eukaryota; Metazoa; Chordata; Mammalia; Rodentia; Cricetidae.
ACUGAGGGACAGCCUCUGCCUAGGGAGCCACCUUUGGUGGACGUUCAGGAUCCUUCAACACAAACGUGAGGUAGUGACACUGAGUUCAGACAUGCAGAGCUGUGAAGGCCACAUGGUGCAUUUGGUGGCUGGAAUGUCCUUUACCAGAACCAGAGACAGCCCAGUAGGGGUGGGGAAGGGAGGAAGGAGGUGACGGGAUCCUGGUAUCUGAGCCCCAGGGUCCCCCACUGCCUGUGUCAACAUAAGUGCUCACGGGCACCCUGCAUUGCAAAAGCUGAGAAGGGGAAGGAAGUGGCGCCAUAUGAGAGCCACAAGAUUGAUGGGGCACUGACCUCAGACUCAAUCACAGUCACCCCCUGCAUGCCCCUCUGGCGGCAUGUAGGAGAAUAAAGAAGAGCCAGCUACACACGGACCUAUAAGCUUAGAGGGAUCUGACCCGUCUUCUACUGCAUCUCAACCCACUGAGUGUGGUCUGCUGACCUUUCUGUUCGCUCCCACCCCUUAUUUUGCUGUCACCUGUCCAGACAGGCUCUUCCUCCAGUCCUUUAUGUGGCUACUUUCUCUUCCCUUGGGUGUUCCUAGGGGCCUUCCCAGACGGCAUGAGGUUAACAACUGCCCAGAAGGAUUUUCACCAUCACACUCAAUAGAUCAGGCUGUCCCGGCUCAGCUAUGGCUGAGCUACUGUUUUGUGCUCUGCUCCACGGUGGGAAAUACUAUCAGAGCAGGCACCUUUGAGAACCUUUUGCCAUUCAUUCUGAGUACUUUCCAGUGCUUGCGAAUGGCAGCUGUUCAUAAAGCAUUGGUUGAAUAAAUGAAUUCAAAAAGGAGCAAGCUUAAGCAGCCGCAUUUACAAGAACAAAACCAGGAAGCUAAAAGCUAAAAUAAGCUGCCUUGGCAAAGCCAGAGUCAACAUCAAAUACCUGAGCUUUAAACUUGUGUGUGUGAUUUUUUUGUUUGCAUAUAUAUAUACACAUAUAUAUAUACAUAUAUGUGUGUGUUCAUAUAUAUUAUUUUUUAUUUUAUAUGCAUUGGUGUUUUGCCUGCAUGCAUGUCUAUGUGAGGGUGUCAGAUCCCUUGGGAUGGAGUUACAGUUAUAAGACAGUUGUGAACUGUCCUAUGGGUGCUGAGGAUUGAACCCAGGUCCUUUGUGAGAACAACCAGUGCUCUUAACACUCCAGCCCCUGUUUGCUUGGUUUUUGAGGUAAGGUCUCAUGUAGGCUAGGUUGUUCUGUAACUCACUGUGUAGCCAAGGGUGACUUCAAACUUCUGUUCUUCCUGCCUCUACCCUCAGAAUGCCACCAUGUCCCGUAUAUGUUGUGAGUGGAGCGGCGGGCUACGUUCCUGGCACCCGGCUGCCCGCACGGCUAGCUUUAUACCCGAAAUAAUUACACGGAAACUGUAUUCUUUUGAACACUGCCUGGCCCAUUAGUUCCAGCUUCUUAUUGGCUAGCUCUUACAUGUUGAUCUAACCCAUUUCUAAUAAUUUGUGUAGCCCACAAGGUGGCUUACCAGGGAGGAUCUUAACCUGCGGCUGUGUCGGGUGGGAGAAUCAUGGCGACUGCCGGACCCGGCUUCUUUCUCCCAGCAUUCUAUUCAGUCUUCUCCGCCUACCUAAUUUUCUGUCCUAUCAAAGGGCCAAGGCAGUCUCUUUAUUUAACCAAUGAAAUUAACACAAAACAGAAGACUCUCCCCCAUCAAGUAUAUGUAGUGCUUGGUAAUUAAUCCUGGGCUUUGACCAUGCGUGGCUAGUACUCUACAGCUUGAGCUACAGCCCCACCCUGGGUUUUAUUCAUUCUUCUACUUGAUUUUAGAGAUGUAUUUAUUUUUCUUUUAUGUGUAUGGAUGUUUUACCUGUAUGUAUGUAUAUAUGUAUGUGUAUGUAUGUAUGUAUGUGUGUAUAUGUAUGUAUGCAUAUAUGUGUGUAUAUGUAUGUAUCUAUACCACAUUGAGUGUCUGUUCCUCUCACAAGUCUGAAGAGGAUGUCAGAUCCACUGGAGCUGGAGUUACAGACAGUUAUGAGCCACCAUAUGGAUUUUGGGAACCAAACCUGGGCUCUUUGGGAAAGCAACCAGUGUGCUUAAUCGCUAAGCCAUUUCUCUAGUCUUUCAGCCCAGUUUUUAACGUUUUAUAUCAGGGAAGAAGCUCAGCUGUAACAUAGAAGGAGAGUCCAUGGAAGCAUAAGGCUCAGGGUUUGGUGGUCAGAAAGGAGUGGGGAUUGCACCCCGAUUUUGCUUUCCACUGUGGGGAGGGAUAAUAUACUUUGGUUAAGACAAAGAGAAGGCAGGGAGUAAUGACACAUAUCAUCAACCCCAGCCCUUAAGAGGCAGAGGCAGGUGGAUCUCUUGAGUUCAUGGCCAACCUGGCCUACAUAGCAAGUUUCAGGACUGUUAGAACUACAUAGUAAGACAUGGUCUUAAAUUAAAUUAAAUUAAAUUAAAUUAAAUUGGCAGACAGUGACAGAAAAGGCUGCUCUCAAAAGCCAUCUCUAUUGUGGAAUAUUCCUUCACACUGUGUGAAGAUGUGUCACUGUGGUUUAUUAAAACGCUAAAUGGCCAAUGGCUAGGCAGGAAGAAUAGCAGGAACUUUCUGGACAGAGAGAGCUCUGGGAAUAAUAAAGGUGGGGUUGCCAGCCAGAGGCAGAAAGAGAACAAGACAUGCAAGUGGGGAGGUAAAAGCCAGGAGUCACAUGCAAACAUGUAAAUGAUUAGGAAUGAGUUAGUUUAAGUUAUAAGAGAUAGUAGGAGUAGCCUAAUCUAUAGGCCAAGCUUUCAUAAUUAAUAAUAAGCCCUGUGUCACAAAAAUGUUCACAAAAAUGUGAACUGGUGGCCCAAAGAAAAUUCAUCAGCACACCUUUGCCUCUCUUGGAAGAUGUUUCGGUGUUUCAGGAUCCUCGGAUACCAAGAUGUGGUGAUGAAGCUCAGGUCACAUCAGACCCAGCUCUGUCCUCCACUAGCCACGGAGCUAGGCAGACAUGACUAGGCAGACAUGACACGCCAAUCCAGGAGAGUGAGAGGAACGAUAAAAUUCACUAGAUGUCACUCAUCUUCAGGGAUCCACGAAGAGAAAGUUUCCUCUUCUGCUGAGAGAAACCCAAAGAAAGCAGCAGAGAAUGACGAUCCCGGAGGCUGGGCAUGACGGUGUGCCCCUGACACUCCAGCACUUCUGAGGUGGGGCCUUGAGAGUCCUGAGUUCGAACGAGGCCCUGGGGGUGUAGAAAGAGAAGGGAAGGGCAUGAACACUCCUGUUCUUGGGAGGGGAGGGGCAAGUAAGAGAAGGCAGCCAUUCACUUCGGCACAGAGCAAGCUUCAGAAACUUUGUAUCUGUUCCCACCACCAGGAGAGCCAGAUGGAGCAGAGAGCAGACAGCUCAGAGCCAAGUACAGCUUCUGUAGGCUGGCCCACAGAAAAUAGCAGUUGAGAAUAUACCCCUCUAUUGUCUUCUCUGUCCUCUUAGCUCCCAGGAAUGAGGAAUGUGACUAUCCAUGUACUGGGAUUAAUGGGGGGCAGCAAUGAAUUACCUCCCAUCACGGUGACGAAUCACCUGAGGUCUGGAAACUUUUAAGGAGAAAAAGUUAACACUUGGCCCAUGGGUUUAGUUCAUAAUUCCUUGGUCCAGCUGCUUUGGGGCCGUGGUGACUCAGGAGCCGCAUGGCUGGGAACUUGUGGUGGACGGUGGCAGCUGGGAAUCAAAGGGUGAAACAGGAAGGGCCUCCUGUCACAAAAUCUCCUUUAAGGACAUCCAAUUUUCUAAUUUCUUUCCACCAGGCCUCACUUCCUGAAGGUACUGCAAGUGUUCAGAAGCUUCAGAAGUACCAAGCCUUGGACACUUGGACCUUUGGGGAAAAUCUUCAAGAUAUAUACUGGUCAUAGUGAUAGUGAUUUUUUUAAAAUAAUUUUAUUCAUUUAUUUAUUUUUGUUUUGUAUCUUUUGUUUUUUUUCAGAGAUAGGAUUUCUCUGUGUAACAGUUCUGGCUGUCCUGGAACUCACUUUGAUGACCAGGUUGACCUCAAACUCACUGAGAUCUGCCCAUCUCUGCCUCCCAAGUACUGGGAUUAAAGACAUGUGCUGCCACCGCUGGAUAAUAACUUUAAUUUUUAUUCUCUUUUACAUCUUGUGGGGAGGUGGGGGGGGUGGGGUGUGUGUGUGGCAGAAAUUCCUGUCAACCUGGCACCAGAGGGUUAGCAAGCAACUCCUGCUGGGCCUUACCUGGUCUAGCUCUGAUGUUAACACCCAGCCCUAAUCCAUUUUUGUUACAGAUACCUUUUGUUACCCUAUGUAAAUCUUGUCUGAGAGUUUCCCAUGGAUACAAAGCCUAUGCAAAACUUGGUUAAGGGCAACCCAGAAAACCAUGAAACCUCAUGAAUCAGUGAGUUGGUCUCCCUGGUGGUCUUUUGGGGUCCCCACUGACCGGGCACAACACUUGGGGGUUCAUCUGGGAUUCCCAGAGACCCUUAUCCGGACCCCUGACCCAAAGGGUUAUUCGGAUCAACCGUGAAGACAAUGACCUAAGCAGUUUGAUAGAGGACAUGGAACAGCGUUGAAGCCUGCGGGUCUCAGUCUUUUGGGGAUUGAACACGUCCUGGCUCACUCUGCCCUCACUCUGACCUCUGCUCAGCUUCCAGCUCCACCUCAUCUGCAUCUGGACCCAUGCUGUUCCUCAAGCCUAGAACUUUCCAUGACUCAGUACUCUUGGUCCCUCAGGACUUGACCCAGUAGUCACCUUUUCUGAAAAGUCUCCCCUAAUUUCCCUAGAGAGGUUGGGUUACCUCUCAGAGCCCCUGUUACAGCUCAUGUCAUACUAUCUGUUCAUCUGUCUAUUUCUCCAGGGCUUAGAGACUUUGGGGAACGGGUUUUGUUUCUUUCCCCCCCAACAAAAUGAGAUAACCCAGCACUAUGGUGAGCAUGUAAUAGAGGGUCAACAAACGUCUGUCUUAGCUAAGGUUUCUAUUGCUGUGAAGAAACACCAUGGCCACGACAACUCUUAUAAAGGAAAACAUUCCAUGUGGUGGCUCACUUACCAUUCAAAGCUUCAGUCCAUUACUGCCAUGCUGGGAAGCAAGGCAACAUGCAACCAGACAUGGUGUUAGAGGAGCUGAGAAUCCUUCAUCUUGAUAGGCAACAGAAAGUGGUCUGUCUCAUGGGCCUGGCUUGAGCAUAUACGAGACCUCAAAGCUCACCUCCACAAUGAUACUUUCUCCAAGGCCGCAUCUAAUCUAACAAGGCCACACCUUUUAAUAAUACUCCCUUUGGGACCAUUUUCUUUUAAACCACCACAAUGUUUAUACCUUAAUUAGUGUGAUAGUUAUCUGUGCCAAUUUGACACAACCAAUCACCUGGGAAGGAAGUCUCCAUGAGGGAUUGUCUGCAAUGGGUUGACAAUCCUCAAUUUAUUUAUACAUAUAUAUGUGUGUGUGUGUAUAAUAUCUUAUAUAUAUGAUUUAUGCAUAUAUCUUAUAUAAAAACAUUCCAAAAUACUAUAUUCUAUAUUAUAAUAUAGAAUAUAAAUACUACAUGCAAAAUAUUGCAUUAUAUAUCAUAUAAUGUUAUAAUUACACACAAUAUAUAAUAUACAUUAUACACAAUACUAAAUAUAUGAUAUACUAUAUAAUAUAUGCUGUGUAAUAUAUAUUAUACAAAACACUAUAUCACUCUGGCCAAAAGCACCUCUGCAGGGGAAGGACUGUUUCAGCUUACAGGUCACAGCCUAUCAAUGAGAGAGGUCAGGAAAAACAGGAAGAACAAUGUUUGCUGGCUUCCUCACAGACCCAUGCUUAACUACCUACCCUUUUUUUCCUUUAUAAAUAAAAAUCACUUUGCUGUAAUACACUCAGAAAUAAAAUACACCACACAGCUAGAUCAAAAUAGUCACUUAAACAAAUGGUCGCCCAGUCCCAAACUCCAUACAUCUCAAUGAAUUUCUAUAUAGCUAGAAUGGCUGUUUGGAAGCUAUGGAGUUCUAGUUAGGGUUUUAUACUUUAUCGUUUACUUUUUAUGCACUUACCAACUACAAAAAAAAAAAAUACCGUGACAGAGUUGAUAUCCACCUACAGAAUAAUGAAAUUAGAUUCAAAUCUCUCAUCUUAUAAAAAGCUCAGUUGGAAAUGGAUCAAAGAUAUUAAUUUAAAUCCCCAAAAGCUCACACUUCUGGAUGAAAGCAUAGGCUUCACUCAUUGUGACACUGGGGCAGGCAGGACGCCCUGAGCAGAGCACAGUAGCACAGGGACUUGCCCCAAGUGCCGACAGACGGGACAACUUGAAGGUAAAAGUCUCUCUGCACAGCAAAGGAAGCCAUCAGCAGAGCAAAGAGACAGCCCAAGGAAUGGGAGACAGUCUUUACCAACUACACUUCAGACAAAGAACCGAGAUCUAGAAUUUACAUAUAGUUAAAUGCCAAGGAAGAAAUGAAAUGCCAAGAUGUUAAUAAUAAUCAUCCUCAAUCAUCACAUGAACUGUUUCAAAACAAGAAAAAAGAAAGUAGCCAAUAACUGUUCUUGAAAGAGUUCAACAUCUCCAGUCGUCAGAUAAAUGCAAAUUUAAACUACUUUGAGACCCCACCUCACCCUAGUCAGAAUGGCUGUCAUCAAGAAAUCUGACAGCAAAUGCUGGAGAGGACAUGGGAGAAGAGAGUCGGUGCUCUAUCAGCUUAUUAGAACUCUUAUUGGAAUUCCUAUUAAAAUUGAUCAAUGUUAAAACUCUGAACUUCAGAAAUCUUAGCAUAACAAUAGCAUAUAGGGGAAAAGAAAUAUUUUUUAUUUUAUUAUGUCUUACAUUAUUUAUGUCUUUCUAAUUUGUAUUCAUACAGUUUAUGUUAUUUUUAUUAUUAUUUACCAGGAGACACAGGUGAUUGAUUGCUGAGAGCAAUCAUUGUUAAUUGAGUUCCUUUUAAUAAAGGAAUGAUAAAAAAUUACAUUGAAAUCUGUUUUGUGAGCUUAUGUCUUCUGUAACUCUGGUAACAAGGUAAACUGUGUCUAAGUUUAGCAGUAGGAAGGAGAGAGAGAGAGAGAGAGAGAGAGAGAGAGAGAGAGAGAGAGAGAGAGAGAGAGAGAGAGAGAGAGAGAGCUGAGAAGGCAGCCGAAGCCUUGGUUACCAUUGUUAAACUGACAAAGCCAUCAUUAGCCUAGUCAUCAAAUACCAUCAGAUUUAAAAAAAAGACUUACUGUGUAUAGGAGGGCUACUGACUUUUUGGAGUUGAUCUUGUAUCCUGCCACAUUAUUAAAGGUGUUUAUCAGCUGGAGGAGUUCUUUGGUAGAGUUUUUGGGGUCGCUUAUGUACACUAUCAUAUCAUCUGCAAA